RNAcentral lists this unclassified non-coding RNA (347 nucleotides) under soil metagenome. RNAcentral's name for it is "partial contains 5.8S ribosomal RNA, internal transcribed spacer 2, and large subunit ribosomal RNA". The stretch from base 1 to 120 matches the Rfam family "5.8S ribosomal RNA", at positions 35 to 154 of the family's 154-position model. The record is from RNAcentral.
GAUGAAGAACGCAGCGAAAUGCGAUAAGUAGUGUGAAUUGCAGAAUUCAGUGAAUCAUCGAGUCUUUGAACGCACAUUGCGCCCCCUGGUAUUCCGGGGGGCAUGCCUGUCCGAGCGUCAUUGCUGCCCAUCAAGCACGGCUUGUGUGUUGGGUCCCGUCCCCCUCACCCGGGGGACGGACCCGAAAGGCAGCGGCGGCACCGCGUCCGGUCCUCGAGCGUAUGGGGCUUUGUCACCCGCUCUUGUAGGCCCGGCCGGCGCUUGCCGACACCCAACCAUUUUUUUCAGGUUGACCUCGGAUCAGGUAGGGAUACCCGCUGAACUUAAGCAUAUCAAUAAGCGGAGGA